RNAcentral lists this long non-coding RNA (383 nucleotides) under Brassica napus (rape). RNAcentral's name for it is "long non-coding RNA (BNAP_LNC026629)". The record is from RNAcentral. Lineage: Eukaryota; Viridiplantae; Streptophyta; Magnoliopsida; Brassicales; Brassicaceae.
AGGGGCGGAGGGGGCGUGUCUUUCACGUGAGAGAAAACAAAGAAUCAUUUUGCCUUUUCUUUCUCCAUCACGAAAAAAACGAGCUCUCGCGAAAGAAAAGGCGAUUCGGCGAUCGGAGAAGGCUGAAGGUAAAUCGGAGCUUUCACCUCUUCUUUUUGCAUUUUUUGUUGUUGCAUGUUGAUUUCAUAUCUUUUUAGGGUUAUAUCGAGGGGUUUUAAAGGAUUUAGGGUUUCAAAUCGAGUUGGGGUUUUUUUAUCAAAUUAGGGUUUUCGUCUCGAAUCAAUAUUUUCUUCAUCUCAAUUCGCUUAUUUGUUGUUUUCGUCGUUAUUAAGGUUUGGGAUUAAGCUGUAAAUCGAUUUAGGGUUCGGGAUUGAGUGUUAAAU